Molecule: transfer RNA, 84 nt
Filed under: Saccharolobus shibatae
Lineage: Archaea; Thermoproteati; Thermoproteota; Thermoprotei; Sulfolobales; Sulfolobaceae
Also listed under: 23 other names
Description: tRNA-Leu
Rfam family: tRNA
About the family: Transfer RNA (tRNA) molecules are approximately 80 nucleotides in length. Their secondary structure includes four short double-helical elements and three loops (D, anti-codon, and T loops).
Source: RNAcentral
GCGGGGGUGCCCGAGCUGGUCAAAGGGGGCGGACUCAAGAUCCGCUGGCGAAGGCCUUCGCGGGUUCAAAUCCCGUCCCCCGCA